UGGGGAAUUUUGCACAAUGGAGGAAACUCUGAUGCAGCGACGCCGCGUGAGUGAUGAAGAUCUUCGGAUUGUAAAACUCUGUCCUUAGUGAAGAUAAUGACAGUAACUAAGAAGCAAGCCCUGGCUAAAUACGUGCCAGCAGCCGCGGUAAUACGUAUGGGGCAAGCGUUGUCCGGAAUUAUUGGGCGUAAAGGGUACGUAGGCGGUGUAAUAAGUCCUAAUUAAAAGGCUAUGGCUCAACCAUAGUAUGGUUAGGAAACUGUUGAACUUGAGUAGAUGAGGGGAAAGUGGAAUUCCAUGUGUAGCGGUGAAAUGCGUAGAUAUAUGGAGGAACACCAAUGGCGAAGGCAACUUUCUGGAAUCAAACUGACGCUGAGGUACGAAGGAGUGGGGAGCAAACAGG
RNAcentral lists this ribosomal RNA (403 nucleotides) under Fusobacteriota bacterium. RNAcentral describes it as "Fusobacteria bacterium partial 16S ribosomal RNA". It matches the Rfam family "Bacterial small subunit ribosomal RNA", at positions 355 to 776 of the family's 1533-position model. The record is from RNAcentral. Lineage: Bacteria; Fusobacteriati; Fusobacteriota.